Molecule: ribosomal RNA, 459 nt
Filed under: uncultured bacterium
Lineage: Bacteria
Description: partial 16S ribosomal RNA
Rfam family: Bacterial small subunit ribosomal RNA
Source: RNAcentral
CCUACGGGAGGCAGCAGUGAGGAAUAUUGGUCAAUGGUCGGGAGACUGAACCAGCCAAGCCGCGUGAGGGAUGAAGGUACAGAGUAUCGUAAACCUCUUUUGUCAGGGAACAAAGGCGGGGACGUGUCCCCGGAUGAGUGUACCUGAAGAAAAAGCAUCGGCUAACUCCGUGCGAGCAGCCGCGGUAAUACGGUGGAUGCGAGAGUUAGCUGUAGUUAGUGGGUUGAAAGGGUGCGAAGGCGGUCUGGUAAGUCAGCGGUAAAAGCCCGGGGCUCAACCCCGGCCCGCCGUUGAAACUGGCAGUCUCGAGUUGGAGAGAAGUAUGCGGAAUGCGCGGUGUAGCGGUGAAAUGCAUAGAUAUCGCGCAGAACUCCGAUUGCGAAGGCAGCAUGCCGGCUCCACACUGACGCUGAGGCACGAAAGCGUGGGUAUCGAACAGGAUUAGAUACCCUAGUAGUC